CAUCACCCAUUCCUUCUCUCCAGAGAUGCUGCCUUGCAUCGCAUCAGUUCCAGAGACAAAGUCCAAUGUCCACAAUGGGGUAGAAGUGAAUCAGACAGUGCCCUAGUUUAAGGAAGGAGCAUUCAGAUCAUUAGAACA
Long non-coding RNA from Amblyraja radiata (thorny skate), 138 nucleotides. RefSeq lists it as uncharacterized. The transcript has 3 exons. Lineage: Eukaryota; Metazoa; Chordata; Chondrichthyes; Rajiformes; Rajidae. The record is from RefSeq and is a predicted model, not a curated record.